GUUUCAAUUCCUCAUAGGUAAGCUAGCAAC
RNAcentral lists this non-coding RNA (30 nucleotides) under Desulfitobacterium hafniense Y51. The record is from RNAcentral. Lineage: Bacteria; Bacillati; Bacillota; Clostridia; Eubacteriales; Desulfitobacteriaceae.